RNAcentral lists this ribosomal RNA (269 nucleotides) under uncultured prokaryote. Its description in RNAcentral is "partial 16S ribosomal RNA". It matches the Rfam family "Bacterial small subunit ribosomal RNA", at positions 524 to 792 of the family's 1533-position model. The record is from RNAcentral.
UACGUAGGGGGCAAGCGUUAUCCGGAUUUACUGGGUGUAAAGGGAGCGUAGACGGAAGGUCAAGUCAGGUGUGAAAGGCAUGGGCUCAACCCGUGGACUGCACUUGAAACUGGCCAUCUGGAGUGUCGGAGGGGCAGGCGGAAUUCCUGGUGUAGCGGUGAAAUGCGUAGAUAUCAGGAAGAACACCGGUGGCGAAGGCGGCCUGCUGGACGAUCACUGACGUUGAGGCUCGAAGGCGUGGGGAGCAAACAGGAUUAGAUACCCUGGUA